RNAcentral lists this small nuclear RNA (81 nucleotides) under Crocodylus porosus (Australian saltwater crocodile). RNAcentral's name for it is "U4 spliceosomal RNA (ENSCPRG00005008279.1)". It matches the Rfam family "U4 spliceosomal RNA", at positions 1 to 81 of the family's 138-position model. Rfam says of the family: U4 small nuclear RNA (U4 snRNA) is a component of the major U2-dependent spliceosome. The structure of U4 snRNA from yeast and human has been reported. The record is from RNAcentral. Lineage: Eukaryota; Metazoa; Chordata; Crocodylia; Crocodylidae.
GUGUAUUAGCAGUGGCAGUAUCGUAGCCAAUGAGGUUAAUCCGAGGCGCGAUUAUUGCUAAUUGAAAACUUUUCUGAUUGC